This 425-nucleotide ribosomal RNA is filed under the name Pseudoramibacter alactolyticus. Its description in RNAcentral is "bacterial SSU rRNA". It matches the Rfam family "Bacterial small subunit ribosomal RNA", at positions 28 to 436 of the family's 1533-position model. Lineage: Bacteria; Bacillati; Bacillota; Clostridia; Eubacteriales; Eubacteriaceae. The record is from RNAcentral.
GACGAACGCUGGCGGUAUGCUUAACACAUGCAAGUCGAACGAGAAGUUUUUUAUUGAACCUUCGGGGGAUAUAAGAGACAGACAGUGGCGAACGGGUGAGUAACGCGUGGGCAACCUACCUAUCGGAGCGGGAUAGCCUCGAGAAAUCGGGAGUAAAACCGCAUAACACGGAUAUAUCGCAUGAUGAAUCCGUCAAAACUCCGGUGCCGAUAGAUGGGCCCGCGUCUGAUUAGCUAGUUGGUAAGGUAAGGGCUUACCAAGGCAACGAUCAGUAGCCGGUGUGAGAGGGCGAACGGCCACACUGGAACUGAGACACGGUCCAGACUCCUACGGGAGGCAGCAGUGGGGAAUAUUGGGCAAUGGGGGCAACCCUGACGGAGCAAUACCGCGGGAGUGAAGAAGGUUUUCGGAUGGUAAAGCUCUGU